CUCUUUUGGUUGUUACACCUUUAAUUCCUUCUUGGGCAACAGUACUGUGGAUUACUUCGUUACAGACAUCGACCCAGUGCAUCUCAGGGCAUUCACAGUCAGUCCUCAAACACCUCUGUCAGACCACUGUAAAAUUACACUAUAUUUAAGACCAACUCAUAGCAAUGAAUCACACAGACAGCCCUCUGAUUUACUGAAGCUGCACCCACCCUACAAGUGGACAAAUAACAGCACAGAAAAUUAUCAAAAUGCAAUAGAAAGUCAAACGAUCAAAUUAUUAUUGGACAACACAUAUUCACAAAAUAAAUUAGGCAGAAAUCUGGCACUUAGCGACAUUACCAAAAUAUUCCACCAAUCAGCAUCCAUGUGCAAUUUGAAAAAGAAAUCAUCAAAAAGGAAACCAGAAAACACCAAAGAAAUGUGGUUUGACAGUGAGUGCAAAAAUAUCCGAACAACAGUACGAAAUCUUUCAAAUCACAGAGAUCCUGACAAUGAAGAACUCCGCCAUCAAUAUCACAAAGCCCUUAGACUGUACAAACAAACUCUAAGAGUAAAAAAGGAAGAACACACAGAACAAUUAUUUCAAGAAAUGGAGGAGUCAGUAAACACCAGUAACUUCUGGAACAAUUGGAACUCUCUCUAUAGGCCACAACAGGAAGAACUGGCCAUUCAAAACGGGAACAUAUGGAGGACACACUUUGAAAAUCUGUACAAAACAACUGAAACAAAUCCUGCUCGAAAUGAAUUCAAAACCAAAUUAGAAAUCCUGAAAGAAAAAAUGAAAGAGAAUCAGAACCCCCUGGAUUUCCCAAUCACAUUUAAUUUAAUUUAAUUUAAUUUGACCAAUUGUCACACAUUAUACAUACAUUUCUGCAUAUACAUGGUGAAAUUAUUUAUUUUUCACAUAUCCCAGCUAAGCUGGGGUCAGAGUGCAGGGUCAGCCAUGAUACGGCGCCCCUGGAGCAGAUAGGUUCAAGGGCCUUGCUCAAGGGCCCAACAGUGGUGUCUUGGUGGUGUUGGGGCUUGAACCCACGACCUUCUGAUCAGUAACCCAGAGCCUUAAUAUUAAACCAAAUGAUCAAAUACACCAACGACAAAUUCAAAACCGCAAUAACCAAAUUAUUCAACUUUGUUUUGAAAGUAGGAUAUUUCCCCGACACCUGGAACCAAGGCCUAAUUACACCAAUAUUUAAACAAGGAGACAAAUAUGAGCCAAACAAUUCCAGAGGCAUAUGUGUCAAUAACAACCUGGGGAAAAUAUUCUGUUCCAUUAUUAACAUAAGAUUGCAGAACUUUCUCAAAACCCACAAAAUUCUGGACAAAAGUCAAAUUGGAUUUCUGCCCAAACACAGAACAUCGGACCACAUUUACACUCUUCACACGAUCAUUGAUAAACAUACCAAAAUAAAUCCAAAGUCUUCUCUUGCUUUAUUGACUUUGAGAAGGCUUUCGACUCGAUCUGGCACGAAGGAUUCUUCCUAAAUCUACUGGAAAAUGGGAUUGGAGGGAAAACAUUUGAUUUGAUAAGCACCAUGUAUAAAAACAAUACAUGUGCUGUAAAAAUAGGAAAUAAGCGAACAGAAUUUUUCUCCCAACAACGAGGAGUCAGACAAGGUUGCCUAUUGAGCCCCACUCUAUUUAACAUAUAUAAACGAAUUAGCCAAAGCCUUAAAUAAGUCCACUGCCCCCGGCCCAACCCUGACGCAAUCAGAAGUUAAAUGUCUCCUCUUUGCAGAUGAUCUAGUCAUUCUGUCAAAAACAAAAGAGGGACUACAGCAGCUCCUCGAUGUCGUAGAGACAUUCAGUCAAACGUGGGCUCUCAAAAUUAACCUCGCAAAAACUCAAAUAAUGAUUUUUCAAAAUAGAUCCAGGUGUAGGGAAAAUAAAUCCAUCUUUAGAGCAGGAAACCAAGUCCUCCAACACACCCACGAAUACACAUAUCUGGGGCUAAAACUGAGUUCCACAGGGAACUUUAAUCUGGCUGUGAAUGAACUGAAGGCAAAAGCAAUGAGGGUCUUCUACAUGAUCAAAAAUACUAUUCGACAUGAAAUUCCAAUUCAAACCUGGCUAAAAAUCCUACAAGCAAUAAUUGAACCCAUUGCUCUGUAUGGCAGCGAGAUAUGGGGACCUCUAAAAACCCAAGAUUUUUCAAAAUGGAAAAAAGAGGCAAUCGAAACUCUGCACACCCAAAUUUGUAAAAGCAUCCUAAAAGUAAACAGAGCGACACCAAACAACUCUUGCAGAGCUGAAUUAGGACAACACCCCCUAUUGAUCAACAUCCAAAAAAGAGCUGUGAAAUUCUACCAGCACCUGAAGCGCAGUGACCCGAGCUCUUACCAGGCCGAAGCCCUGCGGUGUCAGGAGCAGAACCGGCCCCGGAGCACACUCUCACAGCUGAUGCUCAAACUACAGCCAGACCAGCACAGCACUAUCUGGCCCAACCAAAUUAUACAAUUACAAAAACUAAAUGACAUUACCUAUUGGAAAGAUGCUACUAAAUCACAAAAAAAGAUGGAACUCUAUUUAAACCUGAAAAGAGAUUAUAAACCAGCAGAAUACCUGAGCUGUGUAAAAGAGCAUAAAGUGAGAAAGACCCUGACCAGAUACAGGCUGAGUGCCCACUGUCUGGCUGUAGAGAGAGGACGGCACCGGCAGAGGUGGCAGCCGAGAGAGAGAGACUGUGUGUGUGUUUGUGUGUGUGUGUGUGUGUGUGUGUGUGUGUGUGUGUGUGUGUGUGUGUGUGUGUGUGAGAGAGAGAGAGAGAGAGUGUCUGAGUGCCCACUGUCUGGCUGUAGAGAGAGGACGGCACCGGCAGAGGUGGCAGCCGAGAGAGAGAGACUGUGUGUGUGUGUGUGUGUGUGUGUGUGUGUGUGUGUGUGUGUGUGUGUGUGUGUGUGUGUGUGUGUGUGAGAGAGAGAGAGAGAGAGUGUCUGAGUGCCCACUGUCUGGCUGUAGAGAGAGGACGGCACCGGCAGAGGUGGCAGCCGAGAGAGAGAGACUGUGUGUGUGUGUGUGUGUGUGUGUGUGUGUGUGUGUGUGUGUGUGAGAGAGAGAGACUGUGUGUGUGUGUGAGAGAGAGAGAGAGACUGUGUGUGUGUGUGUGUGUGUGUGUGUGUGUGUGUGUGUGUGUGUGAGAGAGAGACUGUGUGUGUGUGUGAGAGAGUGUCUGAGUGCCCACUGUCUAGCUGUAGAGAGAGGACGACACCGGCA
Molecule: RNA transcript, 3210 nt
Organism: Xyrauchen texanus (razorback sucker)
Lineage: Eukaryota; Metazoa; Chordata; Actinopteri; Cypriniformes; Catostomidae
Exons: 3
Source: RefSeq, a predicted model, not a curated record